Molecule: long non-coding RNA, 1257 nt
Organism: Bactrocera neohumeralis
Lineage: Eukaryota; Metazoa; Arthropoda; Insecta; Diptera; Tephritidae
Exons: 4
Source: RefSeq, a predicted model, not a curated record
AUAUAAAUAUUGGUAUUAUAACUUCGUUUAAUUAUAAUGUGUAUAUAAUUUAGACUCGUGGCCAAAUGUUUUGGGAAGUCGACUGCCAGGUGAAUUCGGAUGCGUUUUUUAAAAACAACUUCCGAAUGAAGCGCAAUUCUUUUAUUAAAUUGUGCAUUAUGUUGAAAGGUUUGGAGAAGGAAAAUACCAACUAAUGCAAAGCAAUUCCAUUAGAGAAACGCAUUGCUAUUGCUUUAUAUGCUUUUGGCUCUUCUGCAGAAUAUCGAACAAUUGGAAAUAUGUUCGGAAUUGGUAAAAGCACUGUCUGCUCCAUUCUAAUUGAUUUCUGUCAUGAAGUCUGGCGUUGUUUGUGGCCUUUGUAUUUGAAUAAAUUCCCAAUGAACGAAAUUCAAUUGCGCGAGUAUUUAAAUGGUUUUGAGUCAUUGGGUUUCCCUCAAGUGUUAGGAGCUAUAGAUGGUUGUCAUAUAGAAGUUCGCCCAGCUGCAGAAGAUGCUGUUGACUACUACAAUUACAAAGGUUGGUAUUCCACAGUUCUUUUGGCUUUAGUAGAUGCAAGAUGUCGCUUUAUAUACAUCAACGUUGGUAGUCCAGGCCGUUGUAAUAACUCUUCAAUAUUUGAGAGAUCAUCUUUAAAAGGCGAGUUGGCACAAUCUACUAUAUUUAAAGACAUGAGUAAACAAAUAUCGUCAGUUAAUGUUCCAGUCGUUUUGUUGGGCGACUCUGCGUUCAAAUUUGAUGAACAUUUGAUGAAACCGUACCCAUUUUGUGUAAACCAACUUUUGGAUAAAAAAAAUUCAACUAUGUACUCUCGAAAUGCCGAAGAGUGGUGGAGAAUGCUUUCGGUCAUUUAAAGGGAAGGUUUAGACGGGUUGGAAAAGGCUUGGAUAACCACAUGGCCAACACGAAAAUCGUCAUAAAAGCGUGCUGCGUUUUGCACAACUUUUUAAAUGAGGAAAAUGAUGAAAUUAACGAAAAGUGGAUUGCAGCACAACAAAUCGAAAACGAAUCUCGGCAGUUGCCAGAAGACGUCUCUAACAUUUGUGGAAAUGUUAACCCAAGAGCAGAGGAAAUAAGACAAGCAUUCGUUUCGUAUUUCGCAUCGCUUGACGAUGGCCGAGAGCAACCACGCGACGUAGAAGGUCCAUCGCUUGGGCUUGGGAGCGGCGGCUCUCCUUCUGUAUCGUUCUCAAUGUAAAUUGGUUCCAUGUCAACUGAAAAUAGAAGAAACAAAUAAAAGUGUAAGGAAACAUUCCAUAA